AAGAGAGGUUCAGUGGUAAAAUUAGAUUAAGAUUAAAGAUUCAGGUAUAAGAUAGCGAUAAUGGUUAAGGCUCUAUCGCUUACUUCCGGUAUACUUCCGGAAAAUUAGCAUGAAACUAGCAAGUGAGCUUUGUUCUCUGUCCAGUUCUAAGGAUAGAAUGCUAGGUUUUAGCAAACAAAAAUGGGCUUUUCAAGUUUUGUGAGUGUCUUAAGACCAGAGUUCUGCAAAUACUGAGUUUUGAGACGUGUCAAAUAGAUGGCGUUUUGAUUGUGUCAGUUAUGGGCCUAUGGGCUUAUGGCGAUUUGCUGUCAACAGUUAAGCUAUCUUUUCUUCGAAAAUUACCAAUGAAUUCUUAGUUAAAUUCGAGUGAUUACGUAUGUAAAUUGUCGUUGGUGUGUUCUUAUUCCGUGUGUAUGUUCAAUAACCUCAAUGUUUUUUCUCAUCAACUUACAGAAGGAAACGUGAAAGGGUCGUGCAGCCUACCGUCAACUAUUUUGUUCAAAAUCAUUAAUUGUAUUUUACUGAAUGUGCCAUGAAAAUGAUACAGGAUUCAUCAUUAUCGGCUGUUUGUAUUGGACUUGCUAGAUAACCAAUCCAGCAUUAACUAAUCUCUCAUUCCUACUUCUUUUGGGAACCUUGGAUAGCUGAUCGAUGGUUUCAUGUGUUCGUCUAAUUACACAUUUCUAAAUUGGCAUGGCAGACUUUAUGAGAAGUCCCGUCCUUUCAAAAAAAAAAAGGACAAUGACUAUACAGACAGCAAGGUUCCUUGUUUGCUAACCAUUGGCUGCUACCCUUGAAUCUCCCUUUUUACUUCCUUACAAGGGCCCUCUUCAUUUGAGGGUAACUCUUUCGCUACUGAUCACAUCCACUGUUGUAAACUGACGAGAGAAUGCUGCAAUUCAAGACUGAUACAUUGUGUAGUGGUUAGAUCAAUGACAAGUGCAUAUCUGGGCUCCCUUCUUUUCUGUGGCCCCGUUUCCCUAACUAACCACUAACCAACGCCCGCCGGUGGUCACUCACCCGCUGUGAAACCAGGAGGAGGGGAGGGCUCUGGUCGAACG
Daphnia pulex (common water flea) is the source of this 1061-nucleotide long non-coding RNA. RefSeq lists it as uncharacterized. The transcript is spliced from 4 exons. The record is from RefSeq and is a predicted model, not a curated record. Lineage: Eukaryota; Metazoa; Arthropoda; Branchiopoda; Diplostraca; Daphniidae.